This 429-nucleotide ribosomal RNA is filed under the name bacterium. RNAcentral's name for it is "partial 16S ribosomal RNA". It matches the Rfam family "Bacterial small subunit ribosomal RNA", at positions 355 to 776 of the family's 1533-position model. The record is from RNAcentral.
UGGGGAAUCUUCCGCAAUGGGCGCAAGCCUGACGGAGCAACGCCGCGUGAGUGAAGAAGGUCUUCGGAUCGUAAAGCUCUGUUGAUGGGGACGAACGUGCCUAAUGCGAAUAGUAUUAGGUAAUGACGGUACCCAUCGAGGAAGCCACGGCUAACUACGUGCCAGCAGCCGCGGUAAUACGUAGGUGGCGAGCGUUGUCCGGAAUCAUUGGGCGUAAAGGGAGCGCAGGCGGGCAUGUAAGUCUUUCUUAAAAGUGCGGGGCUCAACCCCGUGAUGGGAAAGAAACUAUGUGUCUUGAGUACAGGAGAGGAAAGCGGAAUUCCCAGUGUAGCGGAGAAAUGCGUAGAUAUUGGGAGGAACACCAGUGGCGAAGGCGGCUUUCUGGACUGCAACUGACGCUGAGGCUCGAAAGCCAGGGGAGCGAACGGG